AUUGAACGCUGGCGGCAUGCUUUACACAUGCCAGUCGAACGGCAGCGCGGGCUUCGGCCUGGCGGCGAGUGGCGAACGGGUGAGUAAUGCAUCGGAACGUGCCCAGUAGUGGGGGAUAGCCCGGCGAAAGCCGGAUUAAUACCGCAUACGACCUGAGGGUGAAAGCGGGGGACCGAAAGGCCUCGCGCUAUUGGAGCGGCCGAUGUCGGAUUAGCUAGUUGGUGGGGUAAAGGCUUACCAAGGCGACGAUCCGUAGCUGGUCUGAGAGGACGACCAGCCACACUGGGACUGAGACACGGACCAGACUCCUACGGGAGGCAGCAGUGGGGAAUUUUGGACAAUGGGGGCAACCCUGAUCCAGCCAUGCCGCGUGCGGGAAGAAGGCCUUCGGGUUGUAAACCGCUUUUGUUCGGGAAGAAAUCCUCUGGGCUAAUACCCCGGGGGGAUGACGGUACCGGAAGAAUAAGCACCGGCUAACUACGUG
RNAcentral lists this ribosomal RNA (484 nucleotides) under uncultured bacterium. RNAcentral describes it as "partial 16S ribosomal RNA". It matches the Rfam family "Bacterial small subunit ribosomal RNA", at positions 28 to 507 of the family's 1533-position model. The record is from RNAcentral.